Molecule: long non-coding RNA, 3113 nt
Filed under: Sus scrofa (pig)
Lineage: Eukaryota; Metazoa; Chordata; Mammalia; Artiodactyla; Suidae
Description: lncRNA (ENSSSCG00055028470.1)
Source: RNAcentral
GAAACCUGGGCUCCUAACUCUGCCUCAGCAUCUGCUUCCUGGAGAACCGGGCCUGUGACACUCCCUGAGACCAAAACAGAAUCUCAGGUUUCAGCUCUGUGCCAUGUAUUAGUCAGGUCAUAUGACAGGUUAACCUGGAGUAUGUAUCAGGCAGCUGUUGGCCCAACAAGGCUGGGUCACACACAAGCACGGACGCUCGGCAGUAUUUCUCGCCCACCCGUGUGAGAGGUGGCUGGGGCAGCUCCGUUCCACGUGUCCUGUUGUGCGAUCUGGGCUGAAGUCAUCAGAGGAAGGCUCUUUUCAUGGCAGAUUUGGUAGGAGAGCAGCCCCAGUGGCCCCCACAGCACCUUUCAAACCUUUGCUCCCAUCAUGUUCACUCGCCCUGACCAAGGCAGCUCACGUGGCCAAAUCCAAAAUGAAGAGAUAAACUUGACCCUGAGGUCCUGCAGACGGUUUGGAUGUGUGCUCCUUCUCCAGAGGACCGUCUCCAACAGAUCUUUCAAGUACCUGUCAAUACAGUGUUUCCAAACCGCUUAGAUGCAGUGGCUCAACGCCUCACUCCUGGAUCAUCCUUCCCGCAGCCCUGCAUCCUCUGCUCCAACCUCACCCUGCCGCACACUCUGGGAAGUCCUUCCCCUCUCUCCUGGGCUGGAACCCUGGACUCCCACAGCCCAGGUCUUCCUCUUUCUUGCUCCAGAAGCACAUUCUCUAGGGCCACGGCAAACACUGGCAAGGAUGCCGGGGGUGGUUCGGCCGGAGCAACUGUCCUGGCCCACCAUCUGGCAGCUUCCAUCAAAGCAAGACCCCUGGGUCCCGUGAGCAGCAGUCCUGCUCCCGAGCACACGUCCCGGGGAAAGGCUCAUGUGGGUCCACGAGAGGACACACGCGAGGAUGUUUAUGGGGACGCUUUUAGGCAUUCGUGUGUACGGAGAUUUCCCAUCUCUGCAGAUAAUUUUGUGCUCUAUCACUUCACUGAAUUCACUUAAUGACAGGUUUUCUGUUGAUUCUCCUGGGUGUUCUAAGUAUUUGAUCAUAUUCUUAACAAACAGUAAAAGUUUCACUUCCUCUUUCCUAAUUUUUUUUACAUCUAAUUUCUUCCUCUCGUCUGUUCGCUUUGGUUAAUAUCUUUGCACAAUGGUAAACGGUAGGACUGACGGCCAUUCUUGUCUUGUCCUGCCUUUAGUAGGCCUGGGGCAUUAUGUUUUAUUUAUUUUAAUUUUUUUUGGUUCUGCCCAAGGCAUGCGGAAGUUCCUGGGCCAGGGAUCACAUCUAAGCUGCGGGAGUUCUCGUCGUGGCUCAGUGGUUGACGAACCUGACUAGAAACCAUGAGGUUGCGGGUUCGAUCCCUGGCCUUGCUCAGUGGGUUAAGGAUCCGGUGUUGCUGUGAGCUGUGGUGUGGGUUGCAUACUCGGCUCGGAUUCCGUGUUGCUGUGGCUCUGGCAUAGGCUACAGUUCCGAUUCGACCCCUAGCUUGGGACCCUCCACAUGCCACAGGUGCGGCCCUAGAAAAGACGAAAGACAAAACUAAACAAAAGAAACAGUAGCUACAGUAGCGACAUUGCUGAGUCCUUAACCACUAGGCCACCAGGGAACUCCUAUUUUAAUUUUNAUGAAGAAGGGCAAGUGUGGUUUGGGGAGGACAGCUUCUCACACACCCUCCGCUCCCUUCCAGGAAUCUCUUUGGUGAAUCCCAGCCCGAUGGUUUCGGAAUCCCUGCAUUUGCUAAAAUGCAGGUUGCCCAGCUCCACGCUUUGAUUUUUGCUAUUUCUUUGGGCCGCUCCCUCGGCAUAUGGAGGUUCCCAGGCUAGGGGUCGAAUCGGAGCUGUAGCCACCGGCCUACACCAGAGCCACAGCAACACCAGAUCUGAGCCGCAUCUGCAACCUACACCACAGCUCACGGCAACGCUGGAUCGUUAACCCACUGAGCAAGGGCAGGGACCAAACCCGCAACCUCGUGGUUCCUAGUCGGAUUCGUUAACCACUGCACCACGACGGGAACUCCUAUUUUAAUUUUUAUUAGGCAAUGAGAUUUCUUUUUCUACAUUUUUUUCCCCAUUGUUGACUUCCCUGAGGCGUGUGGAGCUCUCAGGCCAGGGAUCAGCUCUGCAGCUGUGGCACCGGGGACUUUUAACCCACUGUGCGGGGCUGGGGAUUGAACCCUCAUCCCAGCAUUCCCAAGAUGCCGCUGAUCCCACUGGACCACAGCUGGAGCUCUUUAUUUUAAUUUUUUUAAAGUAAACUUAGCUAAAGUGCUCAAACCCUAAGUGCAGAGCUUGAUAAAGUUUUACAAAUGUACACACCCAGAUGAACACAGGGUUUCCAGCACCGCAGGAGCUCCCUGUGCCCCCUUCUCAAUCACUGUCUCCCUCCAAGAGAAGCACUCUUCCGGGACACUGAUUAGUCGUCUGCUUUUGAAUGUCAUAUAAACGGACUGACGCGAUGUGUACCCUUGCGUCAGCGACUCCCACCCAACAUGGUGUGUGUGGGACUCAGCCACGUGGUGGGUGUACCGGCAGUUAUUUUUUCCCUCUGCCACGCGGUUAUCGCGCAGACGCAGAUGACGGCGGCCCGUCCACUGGCCCAGCUCCGCGGACGGACACUGGGUUGUUUCGGUUCUGACUAUGACACACAAAGGCACUGAGAACGUGUGCACACAUUCUUCUGCGUCUCGGUGAGACAGACGCCUGGGAGUAGCGCUGCUGGUUCCCAGGUCACCUGUGUUUUAGCUCCUGCACGCGCGUGGUCUCAGCAGAUACCGAGGAACCAUGUUCCAACAGGGUUGUCACCAGUUUACACUGAGUUGCCCACUUCCUCAACAAGGCCUGGAUUUUCAGUCCUUUUGAUGUUAGCCACUCUGUUGCGAGUGUGAAGAUAGGACUGUGCUUUUAUUUUGUAUUUUCCCUGAUAAGGGAUGACACCGAGCACCUUUUCAUAUGAUUAUUGGCCAUGUCAAUGUUAUCUAUCUUUUGUAAAAUAUAUAUAUAUAUAUAUGUAUAUAUUAUAUACAUGUGUGUGACUGAGUCGCUUUGCUGUACACUAGAAAUUGACAGGACACUGUAAAUCAACUAUAAUGGAAAAAUAAAAAUCUUAAAAUAGAUUAAAAAAUGAAUGUU